Molecule: ribosomal RNA, 481 nt
Filed under: uncultured bacterium
Lineage: Bacteria
Description: partial 16S ribosomal RNA
Rfam family: Bacterial small subunit ribosomal RNA
Source: RNAcentral
AUUGAACGCUGGCGGCAUGCUUUACACAUGCAAGUCGAACGGUAACAGGCCGCAAGGUGCUGACGAGUGGCGAACGGGUGAGUAAUGCAUCGGAACGUGCCCAGUCGUGGGGGAUAACUACUCGAAAGGGUAGCUAAUACCGCAUACGAUCUAUGGAUGAAAGCGGGGGACCGUAAGGCCUCGCGCGAUUGGAGCGGCCGAUGUCAGAUUAGGUAGUUGGUGGGGUAAAGGCUCACCAAGCCAACGAUCUGUAGCUGGGCUGAGAGGACGACCAGCCACACUGGGACUGAGACACGGCCCAGACUCCUACGGGAGGCAGCAGUGGGGAAUUUUGGACAGUGGGCGCAAGCCUGAUCCAGCAAUGCCGCGUGCAGGAAGAAGGCCUUCGGGUUGUAAACUGCUUUUGUACGGAACGAAACGGCUCUGGUUAAUACCCGGGGCUAAUGACGGUACCGUAAGAAUAAGCAUCGGCUAACUACGU